AUUGAACGCUGGCGGCAUGCUUUACACAUGCAAGUCGAACGGCAGCACGGGAGCUUGCUCCUGGUGGCGAGUGGCGAACGGGUGAGUAACAUAUCGGAACGUACCCAGUAAUGGGGGAGUAACUAGUCGAAAGAUUAGCUAAUACCGCAUACGCCCUGAGGGGUAAAGGCGGGGGAUCGGUAAGACCUCGCGUUAUUAGAGCGGCCGAUAUCUGAUUAGCUAGCUGGUGGGGUAAAGGCCCACCAAGGCGACGAUCAGUAGCUGGUCUGAGAGGACGACCAGCCACACUGGAACUGAGACACGGUCCAGACUCCUACGGGAGGCAGCAGUGGGGAAUUUUGGACAAUGGGCGCAAGCCUGAUCCAGCCAUUCCGCGUGAGUGAAGAAGGCCCUCGGGUUGUAAAGCUCUUUCGCAAGGGAAGAAACGAUACGAGCGAAUAACUCGUGUUAAUGACGGUACCUUGAUAAGAAGCACCGGCUAACUACGUGCCAGCAGCC
Molecule: ribosomal RNA, 498 nt
Filed under: uncultured bacterium
Lineage: Bacteria
Description: bacterial SSU rRNA
Rfam family: Bacterial small subunit ribosomal RNA
Source: RNAcentral